Molecule: ribosomal RNA, 253 nt
Filed under: uncultured bacterium
Lineage: Bacteria
Description: partial 16S ribosomal RNA
Rfam family: Bacterial small subunit ribosomal RNA
Source: RNAcentral
UACAGAGGUCUCAAGCGUUGUUCGGAUUCAUUGGGCGUAAAGGGCGCGUAGGCUGCGGGGCAAGUCGGGUGUGAAAUCUCAGAGCUCAACUCUGAAACUGCACUCGAUACUGCUUUGCUUGAGGACUGGAGAGGAGAUUGGAAUUCGCGGUGUAGCAGUGAAAUGCGUAGAUAUCGUGAGGAAGACCAGUGGCGAAGGCGGAUCUCUGGACAGUUCCUGACGCUGAGGCGCGAAGGCCAGGGGAGCAAACGGG